UUCUCCUUUUCUCCUCUCUUUUCUGUCGUCUCCCCCAGUUCUGCGUUUCUUAGACUCUCACUUCUCUCUGUGCAUCAGCUUUGGUCUCUCAUCUAGUCACCUCUCUCUGCCAAGUCACUCAUUCUCCUCAGCACUCUACUCUCAUUCUCUCAUCAGGUUUUGUUUAUUGACAGAUCAACCUCAAAAUCCUAAGCCACAAAAAGUUCAGAAGAAAGUAAUUAAUGACAGGUUUUCUUUGCUAGUGUUGUAUCGUUUUGUGACGCACAUACAAUUGAGGCUCCAGAUUUUAGUGCUCGCCAUAUGGAAGGUACGGGUCGUCUUUCUCAACAACAAAAUUGUGUCACUAUUGAGCAUUAUUAUCGUGUUGAAAUAUUCAAUGCCGUAAUUGAUUUUCAAUUGAUGGAACUAAAUAGUAGAUUCAAUGAGCAAACAAGGGAACUCUUGAUUCUUAGUUCUGCAUUAGAUCCUCGAUUUGAUUUUCAAUCAUUUGACAUUGACAAAAUAUGUUGUUUGGCUGAGAAAUUCUAUCCUCAUGAUGUGCCUGAUUUGAAUGAUCUAAGAGACUAAUUGGAGCAUUUUGAGUAUCAAUUCUCUGAACUUUCAGAAUUUCAAGAUUUAUGCACCAUUUCUGAGUUAUGUCAAGAAUUUGUUAACACAAGGACACCAUUCAUGUUGAUUGAGAGACUAGUCUGUCUAGUGAUGACUCUUCCUGUUUCUACGGCUACAACAGAGAGAGCAUUUUCAGCCAUGAAGCUCAUUAAGAACCGACUUCGAAGCAAGAUGAGUGAUGACUUUCUUGCAGAUUUAAUGACAGUGCAUAUUGAGAGAGAAAUUGUUGAUACUAUUGAUUCAAAUUCGGUUAUUGAUGAGUUUUAUGCUUUUGGUAACCGGAGAGCACAACUUAAGUAGUUGAAUUUGUAUUGACAUUGAAUAUUUAACUUUGAAUUGUUUCAAUUUUCUAUUGCUAGAUUUGGGUAACAAAAUGCA
This is a long non-coding RNA of Rosa rugosa (rugosa rose), 987 nucleotides long. RefSeq lists it as uncharacterized. The transcript is spliced from 2 exons. The record is from RefSeq and is a predicted model, not a curated record. NCBI's taxonomy places the organism in Eukaryota, Viridiplantae, Streptophyta, Magnoliopsida, Rosales, Rosaceae.